Molecule: long non-coding RNA, 753 nt
Filed under: Androctonus crassicauda
Lineage: Eukaryota; Metazoa; Arthropoda; Arachnida; Scorpiones; Buthidae
Source: RNAcentral
AUUUUCAGUAAUGGCUUCUGUAAACCAAUCAUGGCAUAAGAGAGUAAUUUCUUUAUCAUUUUCUUCAUAAAAUUUAACUUCAUAUAAGUUGAAUUUAUUCAAAAUUUUAAAAUUUCAUAAAAUUUAACUAUCUGUGUAUAGUGAUAUUGUGAGGAUCAUGCAAAGGAGGUAAGUUGAAACCAUAUUUUCCAACAGGUAUGAAAUUUUGCUGUCAAGAUAUGGCUAAUAUGCAAUAUGGGCAUAUGGCUAGGAGGUAUCAAGGUCUGGAUUGGAGGAAUUAAUUCAAACUUAUAUAAUAAAUAAAAAUAAUCGAUUUAUUUAAAUAAGAAUAAUAGAAAUACAAUAGUGUUAAACAAUGCAAUUCAAAUCCAACUUAAAUAUAAUAAAAAGAUCAAGAUUUUUAGACUUUCAUAAAUAGUUGAGAGAAAGAGAUAAUUAAAACAAUUCCCUGAGUAUCCAUAUUCUUCAUUCUAUUGUGUUCUGUGCAGCACUACUCAUUUCCCUUCAUCUCUAUUGAACUGCUGCCAGAUGGGACAGGAUAGUUUUCUUUUAACCCACUAUAUUUCUUUUAUUUUUCUCCAACAGAAAUUAGAAAACAGUGAUUCUCCUUCUUUAGUGUUCAAGCAUGUCUGUCUGUCUUGCCUUUUUCUGGAUGAAGAACCAAUACUAUUUAUUUGUUUGGAAGACGAACUUUUCAUCCUUUCUCAUAAUAGAGCAAGAAACUUACAACAUAAAAGAACUUGUUUAAUUACA